Molecule: non-coding RNA, 389 nt
Organism: Pelobates cultripes (western spadefoot toad)
Lineage: Eukaryota; Metazoa; Chordata; Amphibia; Anura; Pelobatidae
Source: the annotation of a GenBank genome assembly
CAGACCCCAAACCUUUGCCGAUCGAGAGAGCACACUUUUACAUGUAAAGUAAAUUUAUUUAGUUGCAGAGUAAUUCCAGCAGUUGUCAUCUCUCACAUCUGUGCCGAAUUCUUGUGUACUCCGAGCUCAUUACACAAGCUCAUGAACUCAAGUAAUCAGUCAGUACCUACCCAUCAGUUUAGGAGAAACAAGUUGAAAGUUCAUCUUGAGGUGUAAGAGGGAGAUGAGUUCACCUGAGAGAGAAUUUCUGUGUAAAGUGCUUGUCGUGGGCGAUCUUGGUGUUGGCAAGACUUCGAUCAUACAGCGGUAUGUCCACAACAUCUUCUCCCAGUGCUACCGAGCAACCAUUGGAGUAGAUUUUGCCCUGAAAAUUGUGAACUGGAACGAGG